Long non-coding RNA from Cotesia glomerata, 100 nucleotides. RefSeq lists it as uncharacterized. The record is from RefSeq and is a predicted model, not a curated record. The transcript has 4 exons. NCBI's taxonomy places the organism in Eukaryota, Metazoa, Arthropoda, Insecta, Hymenoptera, Braconidae.
AAAAAAAAAUUUUAUAUAAAAUUUUGCAACUGUAACACCAGCAGUCUCCCAUCCAACUACUAACCACGCUCAAUGCUGUUUAACUUUGGUGAUAUCCGUG